GGCGAACGGGUGAGUAACACGUGGGUGAUCUGCCCUGCACUUCGGGAUAAGCCUGGGAGACUGGGUCUAAUACCGGAUAGGAGCCAUUUUUAGUGUGAUGGUUGGAAAGUUUUUCGGUGUAGGAUGAGCUCGCGGCCUAUCAGCUUGUUGGUGGGGUAAUGGCCUACCAAGGCGGCGACGGGUAGCCGGCCUGAGAGGGUGGACGGCCACAUUGGGACUGAGAUACGGCCCAG
Molecule: ribosomal RNA, 233 nt
Filed under: uncultured Actinomycetales bacterium
Lineage: Bacteria; Bacillati; Actinomycetota; Actinomycetes; Actinomycetales
Description: partial 16S ribosomal RNA
Rfam family: Bacterial small subunit ribosomal RNA
Source: RNAcentral